RNAcentral lists this non-coding RNA (45 nucleotides) under Schistosoma mansoni. Lineage: Eukaryota; Metazoa; Platyhelminthes; Trematoda; Strigeidida; Schistosomatidae. The record is from RNAcentral.
AUCCAUCUAACUCGUCCAAAAUAGGACGAAACGCGCGUCCUGGAU